Molecule: ribosomal RNA, 250 nt
Filed under: uncultured bacterium
Lineage: Bacteria
Description: partial 16S ribosomal RNA
Rfam family: Bacterial small subunit ribosomal RNA
Source: RNAcentral
UGGGGAAUUUUACGCAAUGGGGGAAACCCUGACGUAGCGACACCGCGUGAGCGAAGAAGCCCCUUGGGGUGUAAAGCUCUGUCAGCUGGAACGAAAAAAAUGACGGUACCAGCAGAGGAAGCAUCGGCUAACUACGUGCCAGCAGCCGCGGUAAGACGUAGGAUGCGAGCGUUGUCCGGAUUUAUUGGGCGUAAAGAGUUCGUAGGUGGUUUGUCAAGUCUGAUGUUAAAGAUCGGGGCUCAACCCUGGG